AUUGAACGCUGGCGGCAGGCCUAACACAUGCAAGUCGAGCGGAUGAAGGGAGCUUGCUCCUGGAUUCAGCGGCGGACGGGUGAGUAAUGCCUAGGAAUCUGCCUGGUAGUGGGGGAUAACGUCCGGAAACGGGCGCUAAUACCGCAUACGUCCUUAGGGAGAAAGUGGGGGAUCUUCGGACCUCACGCUAUCAGGUGAGCCUAGGUCAGAUUAGCUCGUUGGUGGGGUAAAGGCCUACCAAGGCGACGAUCCGUAACUGGUCUGAGAGGAUGACCAGUCACACUGGAAGUGAGACACGGUACAGACUCCUACGGGAGGCAGCAGUGGGGAAUAUUGGACAAUGGGCGAAAGCCUGAUCCAGCCAUGCCGCGUGUGUGAAGAAGGUCUUCGGAUUGUAAAGCACUUUAAGUUGGGAGGAAGGGCAGUAAGUUAAUACCUUGCUGUUUUGACGUUACCAACAGAAUAAGCACCGGCUAACUUCGUG
Molecule: ribosomal RNA, 484 nt
Filed under: uncultured bacterium
Lineage: Bacteria
Description: partial 16S ribosomal RNA
Rfam family: Bacterial small subunit ribosomal RNA
Source: RNAcentral